CCUACGGGUGGCUGCAGUGGGGAAUAUUGGACAAUGGGGGCAACCCUGAUCCAGCCAUGCCGCGUGUGUGAAGAAGGCCCUCGGGUUGUAAAGCACUUUCAGUGAGGAAGAACGCCUGGUGGUUAAUACCCAUCAGGAAAGACAUCACUCACAGAAGAAGCACCGGCUAACUCCGUGCCAGCAGCCGCGGUAAUACGGAGGGUGCGAGCGUUAAUCGGAAUUACUGGGCGUAAAGCGCGCGUAGGUGGCUUGAUAAGCCGGUUGUGAAAGCCCCGGGCUCAACCUGGGAACGGCAUCCGGAACUGUCAAGCUAGAGUGCAGGAGAGGAAGGUAGAAUUCCCGGUGUAGAGGUGAAAUGCGUAGAGAUCGGGAGGAAUACCAGUGGCGAAGGCGGCCUUCUGGACUGACACUGACACUGAGGUGCGAAAGCGUGGGUAGCAAACAGGAUUAGAUACCCCGGUAGUC
RNAcentral lists this ribosomal RNA (465 nucleotides) under Vreelandella stevensii. RNAcentral's name for it is "partial 16S ribosomal RNA". It matches the Rfam family "Bacterial small subunit ribosomal RNA", at positions 338 to 795 of the family's 1533-position model. Lineage: Bacteria; Pseudomonadati; Pseudomonadota; Gammaproteobacteria; Oceanospirillales; Halomonadaceae. The record is from RNAcentral.